RNAcentral lists this ribosomal RNA (560 nucleotides) under uncultured bacterium. Its description in RNAcentral is "bacterial SSU rRNA". It matches the Rfam family "Bacterial small subunit ribosomal RNA", at positions 337 to 916 of the family's 1533-position model. The record is from RNAcentral.
UCCUACGGGAGGCAGCAGUGGGGAAUAUUGCACAAUGGGCGAAAGCCUGAUGCGGCAACGCCGCGUGAGCGAUGAAGGCCUUCGGGUCGUAAAGCUCUGUCCUCAAGGAAGAUAAUGACGGUACUUGAGGAGGAAGCCCCGGCUAACUACGUGCCAGCAGCCGCGGUAAUACGUAGGGGGCUAGCGUUAUCCGGAAUUACUGGGCGUAAAGGGUGCGUAGGUGGUUUCUUAAGUCAGAGGUGAAAGGCUACGGCUCAACCGUAGUAAGCCUUUGAAACUGGGAAACUUGAGUGCAGGAGAGGAGAGUGGAAUUCCUAGUGUAGCGGUGAAAUGCGUAGAUAUUAGGAGGAACACCAGUUGCGAAGGCGGCUCUCUGGACUGUAACUGACACUGAGGCACGAAAGCGUGGGGAGCAAACAGGAUUAGAUACCCUGGUAGUCCACGCCGUAAACGAUGAGUACUAGCUGUCGGAGGUUACCCCCUUCGGUGGCGCAGCUAACGCAUUAAGUACUCCGCCUGGGAAGUACGCUCGCAAGAGUGAAACUCAAAGGAAUUGACGG